Molecule: small nuclear RNA, 164 nt
Filed under: Pogona vitticeps (central bearded dragon)
Lineage: Eukaryota; Metazoa; Chordata; Lepidosauria; Squamata; Agamidae
Description: U1 spliceosomal RNA (ENSPVIG00000025412.1)
Rfam family: U1 spliceosomal RNA
About the family: U1 is a small nuclear RNA (snRNA) component of the spliceosome (involved in pre-mRNA splicing). Its 5' end forms complementary base pairs with the 5' splice junction, thus defining the 5' donor site of an intron.
Source: Rfam by way of RNAcentral
GCUCAUACCUGCCAAGAAAGAUACCAUGAUCGUGAAAGUGGUUUUCCCAGGGUAAGGCUCAUCCAUUGCAUUUUGGGUGUGCUGAUCCCUGUGAUUUCCCCAAAUGUGGGAAAAUCAACUGCCUAAUUUGUGGUAGUGGGGGACCGUGUUUGCGGUUUUUCCUA